Molecule: transfer RNA, 74 nt
Filed under: Neotoma lepida (desert woodrat)
Lineage: Eukaryota; Metazoa; Chordata; Mammalia; Rodentia; Cricetidae
Rfam family: tRNA
About the family: Transfer RNA (tRNA) molecules are approximately 80 nucleotides in length. Their secondary structure includes four short double-helical elements and three loops (D, anti-codon, and T loops). Further hydrogen bonds mediate the characteristic L-shaped molecular structure. tRNAs have two regions of fundamental functional importance: the anti-codon, which is responsible for specific mRNA codon recognition, and the 3' end, to which the tRNAs corresponding amino acid is attached (by aminoacyl-tRNA synthetases). tRNAs cope with the degeneracy of the genetic code in two manners: having more than one tRNA (with a specific anti-codon) for a particular amino acid; and 'wobble' base-pairing, i.e. permitting non-standard base-pairing at the 3rd anti-codon position.
Source: Rfam by way of RNAcentral
GUGGAUGUAGCUCAUUUGGUAGAGCGCCUGUCUACCAUGCAUGAGGCCUUGGGUUUGAACCCCUGCACUGCACA